UUCCCUGCGUAGUACGACAAGCAAGAUAUUUUAGAACCUACAAGUUUCGGAAUUGGGAGCCGAUCUCUGAAUAUGGCGUGUAUGCUUGUAUUUAUAUAAGAAACCCAUAAGUAUUCAGGUAAGCACCCACCUGUUUAGGUACAGGUCCGUAAAAUCUCUUGAGAAUGACGGCUAAGGCGGGGUUU
Molecule: non-coding RNA, 185 nt
Filed under: chicken gut metagenome
Description: 6S / SsrS RNA
Rfam family: 6S / SsrS RNA
About the family: E. coli 6S RNA was the first non coding RNA to be sequenced, but its function was unknown until recently. It consists of 184 nucleotides that fold into an extended hairpin structure with a large single-stranded internal bulge. The 6S RNA specifically associates with RNA polymerase holoenzyme containing the sigma70 specificity factor.
Source: RNAcentral